Molecule: ribosomal RNA, 253 nt
Filed under: uncultured bacterium
Lineage: Bacteria
Description: partial 16S ribosomal RNA
Rfam family: Bacterial small subunit ribosomal RNA
Source: RNAcentral
UACGUAGGGGGCAAGCGUUGUCCGGAAUCAUUGGGCGUAAAGCGCGCGUAGGCGGCCCGGUAAGUCCGUUGUGAAAGUCGAAGGCUCAACCUUCGAAAGCCGAUGGAUACUGCCGGGCUAGAGUACGGAAGAGGCGAGUGGAAUUCCUGGUGUAGCGGUGGAAUGCGUAGAGAUCGGGAGGAACACCAGUGGCGAAGGCGACUACCUGGCCUGUUCUUGACGCUGAGGCGCGAAAGCUAGGGGAGCAAACGGG